AGUGAACGCUGGCGGUAGGCCUAACACAUGCAAGUCGAACGGCAGCACAGUAAGAGCUUGCUCUUACGGGUGGCGAGUGGCGGACGGGUGAGGAAUACAUCGGAAUCUACUUUUUCGUGGGGGAUAACGUAGGGAAACUUACGCUAAUACCGCAUACGACCUACGGGUGAAAGCAGGGGAUCUUCGGACCUUGCGCGAUUGAAUGAGCCGAUGUCGGUUUAGCUAGUUGGCGGGGUAAAGGCCCACCAAGGCGACGAUCCGUAGCUGGUCUGAGAGGAUGAUCAGCCACACUGGAACUGAGACACGGUCCAGACUCCUACGGGAGGCAGCAGUGGGGAAUAUUGGACAAUGGGCGCAAGCCUGAUCCAGCCAUACCGCGCGGGUGAAGAAGGCCUUCGGGUUGUAAAGCCCUUUUGUUGGGAAAGAAAAGCAGCAGGUUAAUACCCCGCUGUUCUGACGGUACCCAAAGAAUAAGCACCGGCUAACUUCGUG
RNAcentral lists this ribosomal RNA (492 nucleotides) under uncultured bacterium. Its description in RNAcentral is "partial 16S ribosomal RNA". It matches the Rfam family "Bacterial small subunit ribosomal RNA", at positions 29 to 507 of the family's 1533-position model. The record is from RNAcentral.